This 468-nucleotide ribosomal RNA is filed under the name uncultured bacterium. RNAcentral's name for it is "bacterial SSU rRNA". It matches the Rfam family "Bacterial small subunit ribosomal RNA", at positions 355 to 825 of the family's 1533-position model. The record is from RNAcentral.
UCGGGAAUUUUGGGCAAUGGGCGCAAGCCUGAUCCAGCCAUGCCGCGUGCAGGAUGACGGUCCUAUGGAUUGUAAACUGCUUUUUGUACAGGAAGAAACAGUUCUACGUGUAGAACCUUGACGGUACUGUAAGAAUAAGGAUCGGCUAACUCCGUGCCAGCAGCCGCGGUAAUACGGAGGAUCCAAGCGUUAUCCGGAAUCAUUGGGUUUAAAGGGUCCGUAGGCGGUUAGAUAAGUCAGUGGUGAAAGCCCAUCGCUCAACGGUGGAACGGCCAUUGAUACUGUCUGACUUGAAUUAUUAGGAAGUAACUAGAAUAUGUAGUGUAGCGGUGAAAUGCUUAGAGAUUACAUGGAAUACCAAUUGCGAAGGCAGGUUACUACUAAUGGAUUGACGCUGAUGGACGAAAGCGUGGGUAGCGAACAGGAUUAGAUACCCCAGUAGUCCCUGAGCGGGCUGGCAAGGCGCAU